GAUGAAGAACGUAGCGAAAUGCGAUAAGUAAUGUGAAAUGCAGAAUUCAGUGAAUCAUCGAAUCUUUGAACGCACAUUGCGCCCCCUGGAAUUCCGGGGGGCAUGCCUGUUCGAGCGUCUCAGGGACGAACCCUCGCGCGGGUGUACGCGCGGUCGUGGCUGCGGUGGCGUGCCCGAGGCGGCGGCCACCGCGCUGGAAUCCAUGGGCGGACGCCUGCCGCGUGGCCGAGCGUGAUAUGACGCAUUGGCGCUCGCACGCGGCGAGGCUGCCAGCCCUGGCCCGUCUGUCGGGCGGGGGAGAGCAAGACACGUGAACUCCUCGAAUCAGGUAGGGAUACCCGCUGAACUUAAGCAUAUCAAUAAGCGGAGGA
This 371-nucleotide unclassified non-coding RNA is filed under the name soil metagenome. Its description in RNAcentral is "partial contains 5.8S ribosomal RNA, internal transcribed spacer 2, and large subunit ribosomal RNA". The stretch from base 1 to 120 matches the Rfam family "5.8S ribosomal RNA", at positions 35 to 154 of the family's 154-position model. The record is from RNAcentral.